AGUCGAGCGGGGAAGGUAGCUUGCUACCUGACCUAGCGGCGGACGGGUGAGUAAUGCUUAGGAAUCUGCCUAUUAGUGGGGGACAACAUCUCGAAAGGGAUGCUAAUACCGCAUACGUCCUACGGGAGAAAGCAGGGGACCUUCGGGCCUUGCGCUAAUAGAUGAGCCUAAGUCGGAUUAGCUAGUUGGUGGGGUAAAGGCCUACCAAGGCGACGAUCUGUAGCGGGUCUGAGAGGAUGAUCCGCCACACUGGGACUGAGACACGGCCCAGACUCCUACGGGAGGCAGCAGUGGGGAAUAUUGGACAAUGGGGGGAACCCUGAUCCAGCCACGCCGCGUGUGUGAAGAAGGCCUUUUGGUUGUAAAGCACUUUAAGCGAGGAGGAGGCUACCGAGAUUAAUACUCUUGGAUAGUGGACGUUACUCGCAGAAUAAGCACCGGCUAACUCUGUGCCAGCAGCCGCGGUAAUACAGAGGGUGCAAGCGUUAAUCGGAUUUACUGGGCGUAAAGCGCGCGUAGGUGGCCAAUUAAGUCAAAUGUGAAAUCCCCGAGCUUAACUUGGGAAUUGCAUUCGAUACUGGUUGGCUAGAGUAUGGGAGAGGAUGGUAGAAUUCCAGGUGUAGCGGUGAAAUGCGUAGAGAUCUGGAGGAAUACCGAUGGC
This 661-nucleotide ribosomal RNA is filed under the name uncultured bacterium. RNAcentral's name for it is "bacterial SSU rRNA". It matches the Rfam family "Bacterial small subunit ribosomal RNA", at positions 60 to 716 of the family's 1533-position model. The record is from RNAcentral.